GACCGUCCUUUGGACGGAAGGGUUUUGGUGGAGCGCGGGACCUGAUCCUGGGAGGCAAGCGUAUUAACAGGUGUGACGCAGGAAGGUAGCCGAGCCGGGCGAUGGUUGUCCCGGUCCAAGGAUGUAGGGCGAACGGUAGGCAAAUCCGCUGUUCAUGUGCCUGAGAUCUGACGGGACUCCCGUAAAGGGGGGAUUCGGUGAUCCUAUGCUGCCUAGAAAAGCAUCGGCGCGAGGUUUUAGCCGCCCGUACCCCAAACCGACACAGGUGAUCAGGUAGAGAAUACUAAGGCGAUCGAGAGAAUUAUGGUUAAGGAACUCGGCAAAAUGCCCCCGUAACUUCGGGAGAAGGGGGGCCCCAACCUUGAACGGCACACGCUGCCGGGAGGGGAUCGGGGCCGCAGAGACCAGGGGGAAGCGACUGUUUACUAAAAACACAGGUCCGUGCGAAGUCGCAAGACGAUGUAUACGGACUGACUCCUGCCCGGUGCUGGAAGGUUAAGAGGACCGGUUAGCCCUUCAGGGCGAAGCUGAGAAUUUAAGCCCCAGUAAACGGCGGUGGUAACUAUAACCAUCCUAAGGUAGCGAAAUUCCUUGUCGGGUAAGUUCCGACCUGCACGAAUGGAGUAACGACUUCCCCGCUGUCUCAACCAUAAACUCGGCGAAAUUGCAGUACGAGUAAAGAUGCUCGUUACGCGCAGCAGGACGGAAAGACCCCGAGACCUUUACUAUAGUUUGGUAUUGGUGUUCGGAGUGGCUUGUGUAGGAUAGGUGGGAGACGUUGAAGCCCGGACGCCAGUUCGGGUGGAGUCAUCGUUGAAAUACCACUCUGGUCACUUUGGACAUCUAACUUCGGCCCGUAAUCCGGGUCAGGGACAGUGCCUGAUGGGUAGUUUAACUGGGGCGGUUGCCUCCUAAAAAGUAACGGAGGCGCCCAAAGGUUCCCUCAGCCUGGUUGGCAAUCAGGUGUCGAGUGUAAGUGCACAAGGGAGCUUGACUGUGAGAGAGACAUCUCGAGCAGGGACGAAAGUCGGGACUAGUGAUCCGGCGGUACAUUGUGGAAUGGCCGUCGCUCAACGGAUAAAAGGUACCUCGGGGAUAACAGGCUGAUCUUGCCCAAGAGUCCAUAUCGACGGCAUGGUUUGGCACCUCGAUGUCGGCUCGUCGCAUCCUGGGGCUGGAGUAGGUCCCAAGGGUUGGGCUGUUCGCCCAUUAAAGCGGUACGCGAGCUGGGUUUAGAACGUCGUGAGACAGUUCGGUCCCUAUCCGCUGCGCGCGCAGGAAAUUUGAGAAGGGCUGUCCUUAGUACGAGAGGACCGGGACGGACGAACCUCUGGUGUGUCAGUUGUACUGCCAAGUGCACCGCUGAUUAGCUACGUUCGGAUGGGAUAACCGCUGAAAGCAUCUAAGCGGGAAGCUCGCUUCAAGAUGAGAUUUCCAUACAC
Molecule: ribosomal RNA, 1442 nt
Filed under: Arthrobacter globiformis
Lineage: Bacteria; Bacillati; Actinomycetota; Actinomycetes; Micrococcales; Micrococcaceae
Description: bacterial LSU rRNA
Rfam family: Bacterial large subunit ribosomal RNA
Source: RNAcentral